Molecule: ribosomal RNA, 47 nt
Filed under: Colletotrichum magnum
Lineage: Eukaryota; Fungi; Ascomycota; Sordariomycetes; Glomerellales; Glomerellaceae
Description: partial 18S ribosomal RNA
Source: RNAcentral
UAAAGUCGUAACAAGGUCUCCGUUGGUGAACCAGCGGAGGGAUCAUU